This 322-nucleotide ribosomal RNA is filed under the name uncultured eukaryote. RNAcentral describes it as "partial 18S ribosomal RNA". It matches the Rfam family "Eukaryotic small subunit ribosomal RNA", at positions 1470 to 1796 of the family's 1831-position model. The record is from RNAcentral.
CCCUUAGAUGUUCUGGGCCGCACGCGUGCUACACUGAGUGGAUCAGCGGGUCAGGUUGCGCGAAAGUGUUUCCUAAUCUCGAAAUCCGCUCGUGAUGGGGAUUGACGGUUGCAAUUUUCCGUCAUGAACGAGGAAUACCUUGUAAGCGCGGGUCAUCAUCCCGCGCUGAAUACGUCCCUGCCCUUUGUACACACCGCCCGUCGCUCCUACCGAUUGAGUGGUCCGGUGAGGCUUUGGGAUCUGAGCGGAAAGAGCGUUUCGCUGUUUCUGCUCGGAAAACUCAGUCGAACCUUAUCAUUUAGAGGAAGGAGAAGUCGUAACA